UGGUGGUCACUUCGCGACGUUCA
Molecule: small nuclear RNA, 23 nt
Filed under: Arabidopsis thaliana (thale cress)
Lineage: Eukaryota; Viridiplantae; Streptophyta; Magnoliopsida; Brassicales; Brassicaceae
Description: snRNA_00225
Source: RNAcentral